UUAUCCUCUCAGGCCUUUUGGCUAAGAUCAAGUGUAGUAUCUGUUCUUUAUAGUUUAACAACUAUAAUGAGGGACAUUGUCCCUCUCGUUGUUAAUCUAAUUUUUUCCACCAGGAAACUAAGGCUCUGGCUUGCUAUCUUUGGCUUCCACAGGUGUCCCUUGCCUUACACUAUCAGCAAGGUGACGCCGACCUAUU
The sequence is a small nuclear RNA, 196 nucleotides long. It matches the Rfam family "U2 spliceosomal RNA". From Rfam's summary of the family: U2 is a small nuclear RNA (snRNA) component of the spliceosome (involved in pre-mRNA splicing). Complementary binding between U2 snRNA (in an area lying towards the 5' end but 3' to hairpin I) and the branchpoint sequence (BPS) of the intron results the bulging out of an unpaired adenosine, on the BPS, which initiates a nucleophilic attack at the intronic 5' splice site, thus starting the first of two transesterification reactions that mediate splicing. The record is from Rfam.